AACCGGUAUACCGGCCAAAAAAUCCCGAAUUUUUUGACUUUUUCUGAAAUUUUUGAAUUUUAACAAAAUUCCUCUGUAAAUUGUCCUGCCGAGGAAUUUGAAUUCAAAUUUUGAUUUUCGAAUUCGUCCGGUAACCGGUCGGGAUUUUCCGGUUACCGCGGUAACCGGCAAUCCCGACCCCCCUCGGGAUUUUUUUUCAUUCGGGACCCAAAACCUUGGUUACACUACAAGUCCAGGGUUUAGUUUAUUCAGAUAUUGUCAUUGAAGCAAAUGGCAGGAUCUUUAGCAGAUUUUCCUCUCUACCACUGAAUAGAUUAUAUGCUCAACGGUGGUCUAAUGCUAUUGAACUGCAAUACUAAAGCCAUGUGUUUAGUUUUUGACAUGUUCAAUGGAGGACCUAAUUCUGCCACAAAAACAAUGGAGCACUCAUGAUUGCUUUCAUCUCAUGCUUAAAUUGGUAAUUUGGAGAGCCAUCCUGGCAUAGCUACUAUUAUUCACAGUAAAAUUUGCUUUGGUGCCUCGGAGGAUGGGACACCACAAUUAAGCUAUGGACAGUCAAAGGUUAUGAAGAAGAUGGUGAUGUUUUCUCGAUGAAAAGACAAAUAGAAUAAAUACUCAGCAGAGCGAAAAGUGGCCUGGUUCUGUUCAAGUUUGCGAUCUACUUUUGACUUAUCCAUAGUGCUUCAUCUUGGACUGGAGCACUUCGUUCAUGUUAUUAAGUAAAAAAUGGGCUUCGGUUUGGUAUUGGUUCAAAUCGUUGCACAACAAUGGAGUAAUUUAUUACACAGACUUAUGAUAUAUGCUGCUGAUCUCACAAUUCUCAUCAUAUUGUACUCCAGGGCUCAACAUUGCUAGACAUACACGAUGUUUCACUUCGAUUGCUUAGUCUGAGCUAUGAUGAAUAUAAUCGUUCUGUGUUAGGAUUUUCUAUGUACAUUGUUUGGCAUCUGUACAUUUAUGUGUCGAUUUUC
This is a long non-coding RNA of Lolium rigidum, 971 nucleotides long. RefSeq lists it as uncharacterized. The record is from RefSeq and is a predicted model, not a curated record. The transcript is spliced from 2 exons. NCBI's taxonomy places the organism in Eukaryota, Viridiplantae, Streptophyta, Magnoliopsida, Poales, Poaceae.